UGGACCUCAGAUCAGGCAAGAUCRCCCGCUGAGUUUAAGCAUAUCACUAAGCGGAGGAAAAGAAACUAACGAGGAUUC
RNAcentral lists this ribosomal RNA (78 nucleotides) under Frullania sp. A BlS-2016. RNAcentral describes it as "partial 26S ribosomal RNA". It matches the Rfam family "Eukaryotic large subunit ribosomal RNA", at positions 1 to 77 of the family's 3401-position model. Lineage: Eukaryota; Viridiplantae; Streptophyta; Jungermanniopsida; Porellales; Frullaniaceae. The record is from RNAcentral.